This 228-nucleotide ribosomal RNA is filed under the name Triticum aestivum (bread wheat). RNAcentral's name for it is "partial small subunit ribosomal RNA". Lineage: Eukaryota; Viridiplantae; Streptophyta; Magnoliopsida; Poales; Poaceae. The record is from RNAcentral.
AUGGACCAUUCCAUCCCUUUUUCCCAUGCAUAUGCAUCGGACUCGGAUGACGAUGGUCCCGAUGAACAAGUUGAUGCGGAGGGGUUCACGGUGAAGGAGGCCGAAGCUUUCGAGAAGGUAUUCGGUCAGGAUCAUCGGACUACAUUGUUCAAGGAUGUUAGUCUCGCGGAUGAAGCCGUGGUAGAUGGUGGCCAAUGUGUACCUCUUGGGGUUAGGCCAAGCUCUCAC